AACUGAUACUACCUGCGGGAACCUGCGGAGGGAUCAUUACCGAGUUAUACAACUCCCAAACCCACUGUGAACCUUACCUCAGUUGCCUCGGCGGGAACGCCCCGGCCGCCUGCCCCCGCGCCGGCGCCGGACCCAGGCGCCCGCCGCAGGGACCCCAAACUCUCUUGCAUUACGCCCAGCGGGCGGAAUUUCUUCUCUGAGUUGCACAAGCAAAAACAAAUGAAUCAAAACUUUCAGCAA
This 240-nucleotide unclassified non-coding RNA is filed under the name soil metagenome. RNAcentral's name for it is "partial contains 5.8S ribosomal RNA, internal transcribed spacer 2, and large subunit ribosomal RNA". The record is from RNAcentral.